CUGCCACUGAAGAGUCCCACAAUAGGACAAAACAACCGUCCAGUAC
This 46-nucleotide non-coding RNA is filed under the name Schistosoma bovis. Lineage: Eukaryota; Metazoa; Platyhelminthes; Trematoda; Strigeidida; Schistosomatidae. RNAcentral also lists the same sequence under 1 other name. The record is from RNAcentral.